This 1819-nucleotide ribosomal RNA is filed under the name Rhipicephalus microplus (southern cattle tick). Its description in RNAcentral is "SSU rRNA". It matches the Rfam family "Eukaryotic small subunit ribosomal RNA". The record is from RNAcentral. Lineage: Eukaryota; Metazoa; Arthropoda; Arachnida; Ixodida; Ixodidae.
CCUGGUUGAUCCUGCCAGUAAUCAUAUGCUUGUCUCAAAGAUUAAGCCAUGCAUGUCUAAGUACAUGCCGAAAUAAGGCGAAACCGCGAAUGGCUCAUUAAAUCAGUUAUGGUUCCUUAGAUCGUUUCUUCCUACUUGGUUGGAUAACUGUGGCAAUUCUAGAGCUAAUACAUGCAGUGAGCCUGGAGCCCUUUGGGUAACGGGUGCUUUUAUUAGACCAAGAUCGAUCGGGUUUCGGCCCGUAUUGUGUGGUGACUCUGGAUAACUUUGUGCUGAUCGCAUGGCCACGAGCCGGCGACGUUUCUUUCAAGUGUCUGCCUUAUCAACUUUCGAUGGUAGGUUACUUGCUUACCAUGGUUGUUACGGGUAACGGAGAAUCAGGGUUCGAUUCCGGAGAGGGAGCCUGAGAAACGGCUACCACAUCCAAGGAAGGCAGCAGGCGCGCAAAUUACCCACUCCCGGCACGGGGAGGUAGUGCGAAAAGUAGACAAUACGGACUCUUUGAGGCCCUAAUUUGAAAUGAUCAACUCUAAUCCUUUAACGCAGGAUCAAUUGGAGGGCAAGUCUGGGGCCAGCAGCGCGGUAAUUCCGCUCCAACAUAGCGUGAUACUAGCCCUGCCUCGACGUUAAAAAGCCUCGUAGUUGGAAUUCCAUCCAGACGAGCUAGUGCAUCUACCGGAUGGAACGGCUCGCGGACUGAACAUCAUGCCGGUUCUUUCUUGGUGCACUUCAUUGUGUGCCUCGAGAUGGCCGGUGCUUUUACUUUGAAAAAAUUAGAGUGCUCAACGCAGGCGAGUCGCCUGAAUAAACUUGCAUGGAAUAAUAGAACAAGACCUCGUUUCUGUUCUGUUGGUUUUUGGAAUACGAGGAAUAAUUGUUAAGCAGGGCACGGACGGGGCAUUCGUAUUGCGGCGCUAGAGGUGAAAUUCUUGGACCGUCGCAAGACGAACUACUGCGAAAGCAUUUGCCAAGAAUGUUUUCAUUGAUCAAGAACGAAAGUCAGAGGUUCGAAGGCGAUCAGAUACCGCCCUAGUUCUGACCAGAAACGAUGCCAACCAGCGAUCCGCCUGAGUUACUCAAAUGACUCGGCGGGCAGCUUCCGGGAAACCAAAGUAUUUGGGUUCCGGGGGAAGUAUGGUUGCAAAGCUGAAACUUAAAGGAAUUGACGGAAGGGCACCACCAGGAGUGGAGCCUGCGGCUUAAUUUGACUCAACACGCGGAUGAAAACUUACCCGGCCCGGACACUGGCGAGGUUGCACAGAUUGAGAGCUCUUUCUUGAUUCGGUGGAUGGUGGUGCAUGGCCGUUCUUAGUUGGUGGAGCGAUUUGUCUGGUUAAUUCCGAUAACGAACGAGACUCUAGCCUAUUAAAUAGGUGCGGGGUUCCCAGCACCUUACAACCUUCUUAGAGGGACAAGCGGCUCCUAGCCGCACGAAACAGAGCAAUAACAGGUCUGUGAUGCCCUUAGAUGUCCGGGGCCGCACGCGCGCUACACUGAAGGAAGCAGCGUGUCUUUAUCCCUGUCUGAAAAGACUGGGUAACCCGUGGAACUUCUUUCGUGAUUGGGAUAGGGGCUUGCAAUUGUUCCCCUUGAACGAGGAAUUCCCAGUAAGCGCGAGUCAUAAGCUCGCGUUGAUUACGUCCCUGCCCUUUGUACACACCGCCCGUCGCUACUACCGAUUGAAUGAUUUAGUGAGGUCUUCGGACCGAUGUCCGGCGCGGCCUUUCGGUUGCGCCGGUCUGUUGGAAAGAUGACCAAACUUGAUCAUUUAGAGGAAGUAAAAGUCGUAACAAGGUUUCCGUAGGUGAACCUGCGGAAG